GAUGAACGCUGGCGGCGUGCCUAAUACAUGCAAGUCGAGCGAACAGACGAGGAGCUUGCUCCUCUGACGUUAGCGGCGGACGGGUGAGUAACACGUGGAUAACCUACCUAUAAGACUGGGAUAACUUCGGGAAACCGGAGCUAAUACCGGAUAAUAUAUUGAACCGCAUGGUUCAAUAGUGAAAGACGGUUUUGCUGUCACUUAUAGAUGGAUCCGCGCCGCAUUAGCUAGUUGGUAAGGUAACGGCUUACCAAGGCAACGAUGCGUAGCCGACCUGAGAGGGUGAUCGGCCACACUGAAACUGAGACACGGUCCAGACUCCUACGGGAGGCAGCAGUAGGGAAUCUUCCGCAAUGGGCGAAAGCCUGACGGAGCAACGCCGCGUGAGUGAUGAAGGUCUUCGGAUCGUAAAACGCUGUUAUUAGGGAAGAACAAAUGUGUAAGUAACUAUGCACGUCUUGACGGUACCUAAUCAGAAAGCCACGGCUAACUACGU
This 496-nucleotide ribosomal RNA is filed under the name uncultured bacterium. RNAcentral's name for it is "partial 16S ribosomal RNA". It matches the Rfam family "Bacterial small subunit ribosomal RNA", at positions 28 to 506 of the family's 1533-position model. The record is from RNAcentral.